Non-coding RNA from Tuber brumale (winter truffle), 90 nucleotides. The record is from the annotation of a GenBank genome assembly. NCBI's taxonomy places the organism in Eukaryota, Fungi, Ascomycota, Pezizomycetes, Pezizales, Tuberaceae.
GCUCGGCUGGUCUAGUGGUAUGAUUCUCGCUUAGGGUAAUACCUUAAGAAUGCUUGCGAGAGGUCCCCGGUUCAAACCCGGGGUCGAGCC